RNAcentral lists this small RNA (748 nucleotides) under Pan troglodytes (chimpanzee). RNAcentral describes it as "retained intron". Lineage: Eukaryota; Metazoa; Chordata; Mammalia; Primates; Hominidae. The record is from RNAcentral.
UGAAGCGCCGGGAGGCGGACAUUAAAGUGAAGUGGUUGCGGUAACCUGGCCUGGGCCUGAAGUGAGUGAGAGGCACAUGAAGAGAAGUAUUCAAGUAUUUAUACAGAUAGGAAUCAAGAUAAUCAACAAUGUCUGUCACUGAGGAAGACCUGUGCCACCAUAUGAAAGUAGUAGUUCGUGUACGUCCGGAAAACACUAAAGAAAAAGCAGCUGGAUUUCAUAAAGUGGUUCAUGUUGUGGAUAAACAUAUCCUAGUUUUUGAUCCCAAACAAGAAGAAGUCAGUUUUUUCCAUGGAAAGAAAACUACAAAUCAAAAUGUUAUAAAGAGACAAAAUAAGGAUCUUAAAUUUGUAUUUGAUGCUGUUUUUGAUGAAACGUCAACUCAGUCAGAAGUUUUUGAACACACUACUAAGCCAAUUCUUCGUAGUUUUUUGAAUGGAUAUAAUUGCACAGGUAUUUGUUUCAAUUUGGGAUUUAAUUUCUCUAUCCGAUUUCACUUUUGCAUUAGGAGGGACAUCUACUUGACCCUUCUAAAUAUAAUCAAAUUUAAGGAGCUUGUAUGCUAAAAAUUCUUAAGAAAUUCAAUAGACUUGAACUGUAAAUAUAGACUUUCUUUGAAAUUUUAGUUAUCAUAUAUAACUUAUACAUCAUUUGUAAACCUUUCUCUUCCAGGGCCUUACUGUGGCCCCUAUAGACAUCUGUCCUUUCAGUUGCCCAUGUUAUUAAACCACAUGCUUAUUGCAAUUAA